RNAcentral lists this long non-coding RNA (372 nucleotides) under Panax ginseng (ginseng). RNAcentral describes it as "long non-coding RNA (PGIN_LNC014204)". The record is from RNAcentral. Lineage: Eukaryota; Viridiplantae; Streptophyta; Magnoliopsida; Apiales; Araliaceae.
UUAGGUAUGGCCUAUGGGUCUUAAUUCUUCUAUUCCUCUCUUCAUCUCUUCUCAGUUCCCUCCCGCCUCUCUAGUCUCUUCUGCAGCUUCUGCUCUUCAUCUCUUCAAGACUUCGACUCUUCCCUCCCGCCACUGCUGCCGCCGCCUGUCGCCAGUCGCCGCCAACCUCCAUCUCUUGCCGGCCGCCUGUUUUGGACUUUGGUUUGGUAAGUAAUUUAACUAAUUUUUAAUUUUAAUUUAGCCUAAAUGUCUUUCAAAUUUGGUACUAUUUAUUUUAAUUUAGCCUAACUAUGCAUACUAUUAAUGUUUCCUAUUAAUUAGGUCUCCACUUUGUAUGUAAUUUUGAUGAUGACAAUUGACAAAUAAAUUUAG